RNAcentral lists this long non-coding RNA (213 nucleotides) under Elaeis guineensis (African oil palm). Its description in RNAcentral is "long non-coding RNA (EGUI_LNC056056)". The record is from RNAcentral. Lineage: Eukaryota; Viridiplantae; Streptophyta; Magnoliopsida; Arecales; Arecaceae.
GGCAAGAAGAAGUCUGGUAGAGAUUCAGAGGGUAGCCAAUCACUGUAGAAAGUCGGCUGAUAAUGAAGCCCAGAGAGCAUUUGGAGCAAUCCGGUAGAUGAAUGGAGGAGCUCAUUAUCGGAGAAGUUCGGAUGGUAUUAUGGAAGCUCGGACGGUCGGGGGAGUUCAGAAAGACGCCACACAAGGUCGGAAGCCGAAAGAGCCCUGGGAGGG